This 253-nucleotide ribosomal RNA is filed under the name uncultured bacterium. RNAcentral's name for it is "partial 16S ribosomal RNA". It matches the Rfam family "Bacterial small subunit ribosomal RNA", at positions 524 to 776 of the family's 1533-position model. The record is from RNAcentral.
UACGAAGGGUGCAAGCGUUACUCGGAAUUACUGGGCGUAAAGCGUGCGUAGGUGGUUUGUUAAGUCUGAUGUGAAAGCCCUGGGCUCAACCUGGGAAUGGCAUUGGAUACUGGCGAGCUUGAGGUCGGCAGGGGUUGGUGGAAUUCCCGGUGUAGUGGUGAAAUGCGUAGAGAUCGGGAGGAACACCCGUGGCGAAGGCGGCCAACUGGGCCGGACCUGACGCUGAGGCGCGAAGGCGUGGGGAGCGAACGGG